Molecule: long non-coding RNA, 335 nt
Organism: Mytilus trossulus (common blue mussel)
Lineage: Eukaryota; Metazoa; Mollusca; Bivalvia; Mytilida; Mytilidae
Exons: 3
Source: RefSeq, a predicted model, not a curated record
AGCUGAACCAACCGUUCCCAUCGCAAGUUCAAAUCCAGGCCAGUGGACAUGGGAUAGCUCUAGUUGACGUAGCUGUAUUCUAUAAUGUCGAGAAAGAGCUCAGGAAACGAGAAUUACCCUCAUUUGAUAUUUCUAUAAACAUUAUGCAGCAAACAAUUGACUUGAUAGAGCUACAAAUCUGUACAAGAUGGCUUCUAGGAGGAUCAAGUGGAAUGACAGUUCAAGAGAUUGGAAUACCAACCGGUUUUGAACCGAAGACUGAUGAAAUUGCUCAUAUAUCUGUAGUAAAGAAAAUUGAGAAGGAAAAUAAAAAAGUUGUUUUAUAUUUUGAUGAG